This is a long non-coding RNA of Bradysia coprophila, 1406 nucleotides long. The record is from RefSeq and is a predicted model, not a curated record. Lineage: Eukaryota; Metazoa; Arthropoda; Insecta; Diptera; Sciaridae.
AUAUAUCUACAAAAUUAAAUUGAAAUUAAUUUCGUUCGAACUAUCGACUGUUAGCACUUGCACUUUAUUGUAUAAUAUAAGCGAUUUGUACAUGCACCACAGCACCAAUUGCCUAAAGCGCAACAUAGAUAUCAAAUUUAAUUUAAAUUUAAACUUUACAAGCGAUUCUAUACCACAUAAUGUUGUUACUUGAUGCGAAGCACUUGUUUACUUGCUAUGCUCAUGAACACACCUCUGUCAUUCGUAGGAUUCACGGAUAGAAUCGGGGAAAGACAUUUUUUGACUGAAUUCUACAGAACUUUCAGAAGAUCUUACUGAAUUUCAGGACUUUUUAGAAGACUCCGGAUUUUUUUAGAUUAAUUUGAUGUUAAUCUCACAGUUUAAUCGUGUUAAUUAAAGGAGUGCGUAUCACUCAGGAGUCUAAUCUCCAAAAUUAGGUCAAGUACAGAAUCGUACAAAAAUUCUAACACGGCGCUUGUGCCACAACACACGACAAUUCGAUGAAAAAGUGAAACUUUCAACAUGUUGCACAGUUCUUUGGCAGUUAUAGUGUGAGAAAAACAACAACUUUUCUACGUGCAAAUCCAACAUAUUGACUAAUUAAUGUGUCAUUUCACCAUUUCGAUCCAACCAGCAAACAUUUUUAUAAAUCUUACACUAUGACAACCCACACCGUUAAUUUUUAUUGGAGCAAUCAGCACGAUUCAGGUUGUGAGUCAUUCGGUGUAUAUAAAUUUGUGUAAUGCAUUAGAAGGGAAUUUUUGUGGAGAGUUUGUUGUUCGUUCAAUUUUUAUUUCUUCGGAAAUAGAAGAUAGAACCGUCUAUGUCAACCGAAUUUGUGUCGUGAAUUUGUCUCAGCUGCUUUACCCAACUGGUCCACUCAUAUACUCCACUACUUAUACGGCUUUAUCAUAACUCCCGCCCGCGUAUGACUUGAUAGUCGUAUGAAGGCGUAUAAGCAGUGUGUUUGUGUGAAUGGAACGUUGAUCAAAACCAUGACACAAAUUUAGAUGGCAUUGCCUGUAUAUUUUAGAACCAAGAAAAAAAAACUCUCCACAAGGAAGUCAGGCUGUAAAACGUAAAGUAAUAGUAAGGGAAAAGCAAGAAGAAACACAACAAAAAAUAAAAAUACUUUUGUAAUGAUAAUUUCAUGUUUGAAUCUAUUAUAAGUUGAUCAUUUUCAAUCUAAAUCAAACAAACCAAGUUACAAUGAAUUGUUUACGAUGAUAGAAACAAUCAUUUUAAAAUUAAAUUGCUGAAGACAAAUUUAAAAUGCGAACAAAAAAUUUUAUCGUUAAAAUCUAACAAAAGCACAGGAAAAAAAGAAUUCAUUUAAGAGUAAAGAUAUUAAUUUUGAAAGUAAUUUUAGCCACAACAAAAUACAUUGAAAAAAUGUGACAAAAAAG